UAAAAUGCAGUAAAUAAAUAUAAAAUUCAUCCACUUUAAUUAAAAAGAUAAUGCGUGUGUUAGUAACCAAAUGCAUGAUGCAACUUGGAAAUAAAAUUAAAUAAUUAAAGUGCAUGACAAAUUGAAAUGAAAGAAAUAAAUAAAAAAAAAUCAUCAAUGCUUUUAAAUUGUAAUGUUGAGUAAAAAAAAAUUAUGAAAUGCUCAUUUCUCUAGCGCACGCAUCACAACAAAAUUAAUAAAAGAAAAAGAAAAAUGCAUGAAUCAAUUAAAGAUCCAACAUUAAACUAAUAAACAAAAUGCUGUUACGUAUCACAACAAAAUUAAUAAAAAGAAAAAGAAGAAUGCAUGAAUCAAUUAAAGAUGCAAUAUUAAACUAAUAAACAAAAUGCCGUUAUGAAUAAAAAAGAAUUUGCCACCUCUUCACCGAAAACAGCCACGUGUGUCCUCACCAAAUUAAAAAUCACCAUGCUCUAAAAACGCUGGACGUCCUUCACCAUUCAAAAUGAAAAAAAAAACGUUGUUAUCCAAUUAAAUGCACCAUUGCUGUGACCGUGAGCUAGCUUCCAAUAUCAAUCACCACUUGUGCAUCCUAAAGCAAAUCAUAAUUGCUGGAAUAAAAUUUUGGCAUAAAACAACGUGCUUCUAAAUUAAAGAAAACUUGAAUCAGCGUAUUUUCUUCUAGGAGAUUAAAGUUGUUGCGUGAGCUGCUGCACCAUCGAAUCACCGAAUGUGCAUCUUCUAAUUAACAUCAAAACGAACAACACAAAAUGAAAAGUGUAUCUACAAAGUGGCUGGAC
RNAcentral lists this long non-coding RNA (797 nucleotides) under Vigna radiata. Its description in RNAcentral is "long non-coding RNA (VRAD_LNC018298)". The record is from RNAcentral. Lineage: Eukaryota; Viridiplantae; Streptophyta; Magnoliopsida; Fabales; Fabaceae.